RNAcentral lists this ribosomal RNA (468 nucleotides) under uncultured bacterium. RNAcentral's name for it is "partial 16S ribosomal RNA". It matches the Rfam family "Bacterial small subunit ribosomal RNA", at positions 28 to 507 of the family's 1533-position model. The record is from RNAcentral.
GACGAACGCUGGCGGCGUGCUUAACACAUGCAAGUCGAACGGAAAGGCCCUGCUUUUGUGGGGUGCUCGAGUGGCGAACGGGUGAGUAACACGGGAGUAACCUGCCCUUGACUUUGGGAUAACUUCAGGAAACUGGGGAUAAUACCGGAUAGGAGCGCCUGCUGCAUGGUGGGGGUUGGAAAGUUUCGGCGGUGGGGGAUGGACGCGCGGCUUAUCAGCUUGUUGGUGGGGUAGUGGCUUACCAAGGCUUUGACGGGUAGCCGGCCUGAGAGGGUGACCAGCCACAUUGGGACUGAGAUACGGCCCAGACUCCUACGGGAGGCAGCAGUGGGGAAUAUUGCACAGUGGGCGGAAGCCUGAUGCAGAAACGCCGCGUGCGGGAUGACGGCCUUCGGGUUGUAAACCGCUUUCGCCUGUGACGAAGCGUGAGUGACGGUAAUGGGUAAAGAAGCACCGGCUAACUACGUG